This 326-nucleotide long non-coding RNA is filed under the name Linum usitatissimum (flax). RNAcentral describes it as "long non-coding RNA (LUSI_LNC003529)". The record is from RNAcentral. Lineage: Eukaryota; Viridiplantae; Streptophyta; Magnoliopsida; Malpighiales; Linaceae.
AUUUAUCCUCCCUUAUACCUCUAAUUUCCUAGAAAUGGAAGGGGCAAGUCUUGUAAUCCCCAUUGGACACGGAUUCCUUGACUAAUUACUACUGAAUUUUAGUUAAAAUUCCAAUAAAUCCCGACAAAAUCUCCUAACUUGAUCAAAUCUGUGCUGGUUAGCCAUGAUGCAAAGAACAAAAAAAAUAGAAAAAAAAUAAAGACCAGACUAUGAUAAACCAUCCUUUUGUCUCUGAAGGGUCCCACUUCUCUCAUUCCAUGUCAGCUGAUCAUGUCGCAAUUUAUAUACUUUCACCCUUUAGCCUUUUCCUCCCCUGUAAUCAAAAC